AUAUUUGGUCAAUUCCCUAACGGGUGAACCAGCGAUUUGAAGGAAUGAAUAUCAACAUUUGAAAUAUAAUUUGAAUAAAGUUCUGGGUAGGAUAAUGAUAAUGACAAUUUUCUAUCUAAAUGUCUUGACUAAUUCACGUGCCAGCAGUCGCGGUAAGACGUGAGAGACGAGCGUUAUUCAUCUUUAAUUGGUUUAAAGGGUUCCUAGACUGUAAUUCCUGCCUUAGUAUGGGAACAGAAUUACUAGAGUUUUAUGUGAAAAGUUUAGAAUUGGUGGUGUAGAGAUAAUAUACUAAAAUACCAUUAGGACUGGUAAAGGCGAAGGCAAACUUUUAUGUAGAAAC
This 343-nucleotide ribosomal RNA is filed under the name Pseudodiscina cf. melaleucoides OSC 100037. Its description in RNAcentral is "SSU rRNA". It matches the Rfam family "Bacterial small subunit ribosomal RNA", at positions 359 to 740 of the family's 1533-position model. Lineage: Eukaryota; Fungi; Ascomycota; Pezizomycetes; Pezizales; Discinaceae. The record is from RNAcentral.